CGUGUAGGCGGUUGUCCAAGUUGGAUGUGAAAGCCUUGAGCUCAACUCAAGAAAUGCAUUCAGGACUGGAUGACUAGAGGACCGGAGAGGAUAGUGGAAUUCCCAGUGUAGUGGUGAAAUACGUAGAGAUUGGGAAGAACACCAGUGGCGAAGGCGGCUAUCUGGACGGUUUCUGACGCUAAGACGCGAAAGCGUGGGGAGCAAACA
RNAcentral lists this ribosomal RNA (207 nucleotides) under uncultured bacterium. Its description in RNAcentral is "partial 16S ribosomal RNA". It matches the Rfam family "Bacterial small subunit ribosomal RNA", at positions 568 to 774 of the family's 1533-position model. The record is from RNAcentral.